CCCAAUUACUAACUUUUUCACAAUUAGGUCCUAAAAAUCAUUUUCUACUAAAAUCACUUAAUAAGAUCAUUAUAUAAUGAAAUUAAAACUUAAAAUCUAUAAUAAUUCAUCAUAAAAUUCCAUAAAUUAUUCAUGGUAACUUAAUAAAUCACCCAUGGAAUCAAAUACUAAUGAAUUCAAUAGUUGGACCUAGUUGUAAAAUUCACAAAACAUAAAAAUUUCAAGGAAAAAGCAAGAAUUGAACUCAC
Molecule: long non-coding RNA, 248 nt
Filed under: Gossypium barbadense (sea-island cotton)
Lineage: Eukaryota; Viridiplantae; Streptophyta; Magnoliopsida; Malvales; Malvaceae
Description: long non-coding RNA (GBAR_LNC016106)
Source: RNAcentral